GUGGAUGUAGUUCAGUUGGUAGAGCACCAGAUUGUGGUUCUGGUUGUCGCGGGUUCAAACCCCGUCAUCCACCCUCCA
RNAcentral lists this transfer RNA (78 nucleotides) under Spirochaetota bacterium. RNAcentral describes it as "Spirochaetes bacterium tRNA-His". It matches the Rfam family "tRNA". From Rfam's summary of the family: Transfer RNA (tRNA) molecules are approximately 80 nucleotides in length. Their secondary structure includes four short double-helical elements and three loops (D, anti-codon, and T loops). Further hydrogen bonds mediate the characteristic L-shaped molecular structure. tRNAs have two regions of fundamental functional importance: the anti-codon, which is responsible for specific mRNA codon recognition, and the 3' end, to which the tRNAs corresponding amino acid is attached (by aminoacyl-tRNA synthetases). tRNAs cope with the degeneracy of the genetic code in two manners: having more than one tRNA (with a specific anti-codon) for a particular amino acid; and 'wobble' base-pairing, i.e. permitting non-standard base-pairing at the 3rd anti-codon position. The record is from RNAcentral. Lineage: Bacteria; Pseudomonadati; Spirochaetota.